Molecule: long non-coding RNA, 211 nt
Filed under: Linum usitatissimum (flax)
Lineage: Eukaryota; Viridiplantae; Streptophyta; Magnoliopsida; Malpighiales; Linaceae
Description: long non-coding RNA (LUSI_LNC005761)
Source: RNAcentral
CUAUUUUUCUUAUCUCGAGACUGGGUUUUUUAAUUGUCUCCUUCCUUUUUUCAAGAUUUUCACCAUUUUUUUUCUUUUUUCUCAUUUUUCGAGAUUCUUCAUAAACAUCAACCACGAACAAGGGAGACUAAAUAAUCCUGCAUUUUUAAAACUUAGUAACUUUUACUCCUAGACUCGUCCGAGUUACAUGACACUAAUAUAUGCAUUAUCA